Molecule: non-coding RNA, 176 nt
Organism: Tupaia belangeri (northern tree shrew)
Lineage: Eukaryota; Metazoa; Chordata; Mammalia; Scandentia; Tupaiidae
Source: Rfam
CUCAUCACACCUCACGGAGCCUGUUUCUGAGGUGCCAGGGUGGCCCUGCACGUGCUGCCAUCAUGAGGCACUUGUUACGUAGGGGCUGAACCAACAGGUCCUUUCCUUCGAGCCGCUGGGCAGGCGGCUUCCUGGGCCUCUCUGUUUUAGCACUUGGGACACUGAGAUGUGGAGAA